AUGCUUUACAGCUUAGAACCGGGGCUCCAAAAGCGUUUUGAGCAACACGGAGCAUAUGAGAUGUUCGAAGAGCUGAAGAUGGUUUUCCAAGCUCAUGCCCGGGUCGAGAGAUAUGAAGUGUCCGACAAGUUCUAUAGUUGUAAGAUGGAGGAAAAUUGUUCUGUCAGUGAGCACAUACUCAAAAUGUCUGGGUUGCACAACUGCUUCUCCCAGCUGGACAUUAACCUCUCAGACGAGGCGGUCAUUGACAGAAUCCUUCAGUCGCUCCCACCUAGCUACAAGAGCUUUUUGAUGAACUACAAUAUGCAGGGGAUGGUGAAAACUAUUCUUGAAGUAUUUUCAAUAUUGAAAUCAGCAAGGUGGAAAUAA
Molecule: ribosomal RNA, 369 nt
Filed under: Triticum aestivum (bread wheat)
Lineage: Eukaryota; Viridiplantae; Streptophyta; Magnoliopsida; Poales; Poaceae
Description: partial small subunit ribosomal RNA
Source: RNAcentral